Molecule: ribosomal RNA, 441 nt
Filed under: uncultured bacterium
Lineage: Bacteria
Description: partial 16S ribosomal RNA
Rfam family: Bacterial small subunit ribosomal RNA
Source: RNAcentral
CCUACGGGUGGCAGCAGUGGGGAAUAUUGCACAAUGGGGGAACCCCUGAUGCAGCAACGCCGCGUGAGGGAAGACGGUUUUCGGAUUGUAAACUUCUGUUCUUAGUGCAGAAUCAUGACGGUAGCUAAGGCGCACGCACCGGCUAACUACGUGACAGCAGCCGCGGCAAUACGGAGGUGGCCAGCGUUGUACGGAAUGACCGGGGGUAAAGGGAGCGCAGGCGGGAAGCCAAGUCAGCUGUCAAAACUACGGGCUUAACUUGUAGACUGCAGUUGAAACUGGUGUUCUUGAGUGAAGUAGAGGUUGGCGGAAUUCCGGGUGUAGCGGUGAAAUGCGUAGAUAUUCGGAGGAACACCGGUGGCGAAGGCGGCCAACUGGGCUUUAACUGACGCUGAGGCUCGAAAGUGUGGGGAGCAAACAGGAUUAGAUACCCUUGUAGUC